This 433-nucleotide ribosomal RNA is filed under the name uncultured bacterium. RNAcentral's name for it is "partial 16S ribosomal RNA". It matches the Rfam family "Bacterial small subunit ribosomal RNA", at positions 29 to 507 of the family's 1533-position model. The record is from RNAcentral.
AACGAACGUUGGCGGCAUGCCUAACACAUGCAAGUCGAACGAGACCUUCGGGUCUAGUGGCGCACGGGUGCGUAACGCGUGGGAACCUGCCCUUAGGUUCGGAAUAACUCCCCGAAAGGGGUGCUAAUACCGGAUAAUGUCUUCGGACCAAAGAUUCAUCGCCUUUGGAUGGGCCCGCGUUGGAUUAGCUAGUUGGUAGGGUAAAAGCCUACCAAGGCGACGAUCCAUAGCUGGUCUGAGAGGAUGAUCAGCCACACUGGGACUGAGACACGGCCCAGACUCCUACGGGAGGCAGCAGUGGGGAAUAUUGGACAAUGGGCGAAAGCCUGAUCCAGCAAUGCCGCGUGAGUGAUGAAGGCCUUAGGGUUGUAAAGCUCUUUUACCCGGGAUGAUAAUGACAGUACCGGGAGAAUAAGCUCCGGCUAACUCCGUG